RNAcentral lists this ribosomal RNA (253 nucleotides) under uncultured bacterium. RNAcentral describes it as "partial 16S ribosomal RNA". It matches the Rfam family "Bacterial small subunit ribosomal RNA", at positions 524 to 776 of the family's 1533-position model. The record is from RNAcentral.
UACGGAGGGUGCAAGCGUUAAUCGGAAUUACUGGGCGUAAAGCGCACGUAGGCGGUUUGAUAAGCCAGCCGUGAAAGCCCCGGGCUCAACCUGGGAAUUGCGGUUGGAACUGUCAAGCUAGAGUACAGUAGAGGGGUGUGGAAUUUCAGGUGUAGCGGUGAAAUGCGUAGAUAUCUGAAGGAACAUCAGUGGCGAAGGCGACACCCUGGACUGAUACUGACGCUGAGGUGCGAAAGCGUGGGGAGCAAACAGG